CUUUGACCUCGAAUCAGGUGGGACUACCCGCUGAACUU
This 38-nucleotide ribosomal RNA is filed under the name uncultured Clavulina. RNAcentral describes it as "partial 28S ribosomal RNA". The record is from RNAcentral. Lineage: Eukaryota; Fungi; Basidiomycota; Agaricomycetes; Cantharellales; Hydnaceae.